RNAcentral lists this ribosomal RNA (494 nucleotides) under uncultured bacterium. RNAcentral describes it as "partial 16S ribosomal RNA". It matches the Rfam family "Bacterial small subunit ribosomal RNA", at positions 28 to 507 of the family's 1533-position model. The record is from RNAcentral.
GACGAACGCUGGCGGCGCGCUUAACACAUGCAAGUCGAACGGAAAGGCCUGCUUUCCCUUGUGGAUUGCGGGUACUCGAGUGGCGAACGGGUGAGUAACACGUGAGUGAUCUGCCCCCAACUUGGGUAUAAGCCUGGGAAACUGGGUCUAAUUCCCGAUAGGACUGCAGGGUGGUGCCUGUGGUGGAAAACGAUUUUCUAGUGGUUGGGGAUGAGCUCGCGGCCUAUCAGCUUGUUGGUGGGGUAAUGGCCUACCAAGGCGGCGACGGGCAGCCGGCCUGAGAGGGUGGACGGACACAUUGAGACUGAGAUACGGCCCAGACUCCUACGGGAGGCAGCAGUGGGGAAUAUUGCACAAUGGGCGGAAGCCUGAUGCAGCGACGCCGCGUGGGGGAUGACGGCCUUCGGGUUGUAAACUCCUUUCGACCGCGAGGAAGCCACCUGGUUGGAAGGGUGGUGACGGUAGUGGUAGAAGAAGCACCGGCUAACUACGUG